This 253-nucleotide ribosomal RNA is filed under the name uncultured bacterium. RNAcentral describes it as "partial 16S ribosomal RNA". It matches the Rfam family "Bacterial small subunit ribosomal RNA", at positions 524 to 776 of the family's 1533-position model. The record is from RNAcentral.
UACGGAGGGGGCUAGCGUUGUUCGGAAUUACUGGGCGUAAAGCGCACGUAGGCGGCUUUGUAAGUUAGAGGUGAAAGCCCGGGGCUCAACUCCGGAAUUGCCUUUAAGACUGCAUCGCUAGAAUUGUGGAGAGGUAAGUGGAAUUCCGAGUGUAGAGGUGAAAUGCGUAGAGAUCGGCAGGAACACCCAGGGGGAAACCAGUCGACUGGGCAUCUACUGACGCUGAGGUGCGAGAGCGUGGGGAGCGAACCGG